RNAcentral lists this ribosomal RNA (151 nucleotides) under Nocardia farcinica. RNAcentral describes it as "partial 16S ribosomal RNA". It matches the Rfam family "Bacterial small subunit ribosomal RNA", at positions 358 to 526 of the family's 1533-position model. The record is from RNAcentral. Lineage: Bacteria; Bacillati; Actinomycetota; Actinomycetes; Mycobacteriales; Nocardiaceae.
GGGGCAUGCAUGGGCGAAGCCUGAUGCAGCGACGCCGCGUGAGGGAUGACGGCCUUCGGGUUGUAAACCUCUUUCGACAGGGACGAAGCGCAAGUGACGGUACCUGUAGAAGAAGCACCGGCCAACUACGUGCCAGCAGCCGCGGUAAUAA